RNAcentral lists this ribosomal RNA (872 nucleotides) under Novalena intermedia. Its description in RNAcentral is "SSU rRNA". It matches the Rfam family "Eukaryotic small subunit ribosomal RNA", at positions 52 to 918 of the family's 1831-position model. Lineage: Eukaryota; Metazoa; Arthropoda; Arachnida; Araneae; Agelenidae. The record is from RNAcentral.
UGCAUGUCUAAGUACAUGCCGCAUUAAGGCGAAACCGCGAAUGGCUCAUUAAAUCAGUCAUGGUUCCUUGGAUCGUACCUUACUACUUGGAUAACUGUGGCAAUUCUAGAGCUAAUACAUGCAGCAGAGCUCCGACCUUCGGGGACGAGCGCUUUUAUUAGACCAAAACCAAUCGGACCUCGUGUCCGUCUCUUGUGGUGACUCUGUAUAACUUUGGGCUGAUCGCACGGGCCUGUCCCGGCGACGUAUCUUUCAAGUGUCUGCCUUAUCAACUUUCGAUGGUAGGUUACGCGCCUACCAUGGUCGUAACGGGUAACGGGGAAUCAAGGUUCAAUUCCGGAGAGGGAGCCUGAGAAACGGCUACCACAUCCAAGGAAGGCAGAAGGCGCGCAAAUUACCCACUCCCAGAACGGGGAGGUAGUGACGAANAAUAACAAUACCGGGACUCUUUUGAGACCCCGUAAUUGGAAUGAGUACACUCUAAAUCCUUUAACGAGGAUCCAUUGGAGGGUAAGUCUGGUGCCAGCAACCCGCGGUAAUUCCAGCUCCAAUAGCGUAUAUUAAAGUUGUUGCGGUUAAAAAGCUCGUAGUUGGAUCUCAGUUCCGGACGGGNGGUCCGCCUCCCGGUGGGUACUGCCUGUUCUGAACAGUCAGCCGGUUUCUCCUGAUGAUCUUCCCCGGUGGUCUUGGGUGACCCNUAAGUUUACUUUUGAAAAAAUUAAAGGGCUCAAAGCAGGCGUGACGCCUGAAUAAUGGUGCAUGGAAUAAUGGAAUAGGACCUCGGGUUUAAUUUGGUGGNUUNCGGAACACCGAGGUAAUGAUUAAUAGGGACAGACGGGGGCAUUAGUAUUCGGACNCUNUUANGGNGAAAA